This 82-nucleotide ribosomal RNA is filed under the name Calligrapha nr. rhoda JGZ-2005. RNAcentral's name for it is "partial 5.8S ribosomal RNA". Lineage: Eukaryota; Metazoa; Arthropoda; Insecta; Coleoptera; Chrysomelidae. The record is from RNAcentral.
AGGACACAUGAACAUCGACAUUUCGAACGCACAUUGCGGUCCUCGGAUACUGUUCCUGGACCACUCCUGGCUGAGGGUCGUA